UACGGAAGGUGCAAGCGUUGUUCGGAAUGACUGGGCGUAAAGCGCACGUAGGCGGCUUGUUAAGUCAGGGGUGAAAUCCUGGAGCUCAACUCCAGAACUGCCUUUGAUACUGGCGAUCUUGAGUCCGGGAGAGGUGAGUGGAACUGCGAGUGUAGAGGUGAAAUUCGUAGAUAUUCGCAAGAACACCAGUGGCGAAGGCGGCUCACUGGCCCGGUACUGACGCUGAGGUGCGAAAGCGUGGGGAGCAAACAGG
Molecule: ribosomal RNA, 253 nt
Filed under: uncultured bacterium
Lineage: Bacteria
Description: partial 16S ribosomal RNA
Rfam family: Bacterial small subunit ribosomal RNA
Source: RNAcentral